This is a non-coding RNA of Physcomitrium patens, 3803 nucleotides long. The record is from RefSeq and is a predicted model, not a curated record. NCBI's taxonomy places the organism in Eukaryota, Viridiplantae, Streptophyta, Bryopsida, Funariales, Funariaceae.
CAAUGUUUCAAUGAAGUGCAGAUUUCACUCGUGACAAGGUAAAAUGAAUGGCUGUUUUCAGAGUGCAAAGAUCUCAUCGAGCGAUAUGGUGUUUGACACGCAGUUUCAUAUUGUUGUUGGGUCGGAGAUGCAAGACUUUCCGCAAUGGGAGAGGACUUGGAGAGAAAACCAUGUGAGCUUCGUGAGGCCAGCCAGUUGACCGCCACGUUAGAGGCGGCACGGCGUGCGCGGACAAAUGCUCUUGGCAAUGGCGCGCUUGUGCACUUCUCGCCCGGAAAACAGGAUCAUCAUCUCGAUGAGUACUCUUGCCAACGGGGCGUUCUGUUUCCACUGCCGCGUUCUCGAUCAGAUGUGCUUGUCCCUUGGGAGCAAGAGGGAGAAAUGGAGUGGCUGUCGAAUGUGAAUUGUAUAUCUUGGUGCAGAUGUCGAGGUUCACUCUUGCAUUUCAGGGUUUAUACAUGAAUUCAUCCAGGCCAAAACGUUUUGGAGCAGCCAUGACUCUUGCGUCCAAUGCAGCCAAUUAAGUAAACAUGACUCUUCAUGGUGAAACUUGACUCAUUUCAUGAAAACCGCUAAAGAGUUGAAUAGAUUCUGAUGGGGGCCGAAAACACGUCAGUGGUUGGGGUCGAGAAGCCCAAGGCAAGGCUCUUUGCUGCUGUCUUACCAAGUAUCUGGUUUAUCAAGCUUAGGUCCAUUCGUAGAAGAUCACGUAGAUUAAACGCGACUGACAAUAAUGAGCCUGUGAUUCCUGAUAAUGCGCCCUUUCUUCCCAAAAGCGUUGAGAACUGCUACAAGAAUGGAAUGAUAUCUGAAGAAUGUAUCUUCAGUCCUCUUGAAGGUUCACACACCACAACCGCAAAUGAUUCUACCAUCUCCAGUUCAUGUCCUAAAAACAAUGAAGCUAGAUCUGUCCCCAUCUCUUCCACUCUUAGCAGAAAAAGUAUCGCUCGCCCUGAAGGAACCCCAAGCAGGCAAAGUAUCACUCGCUCGGAAGGGUCUGCGGGGACUUCUAGGUCAACCCCAGUGACUUCCAUCGCAACCACUACAUCUUCUACAACUUCUAGUAUAUUCUCCAGAUGCAUGUACAGAUCCACGUUUUUCUCAGGGCUUAGAGGAUUGUGCAAGCUGGUGGAUGAUGCUACUCUUUCGAAGGAAAGCAAUUCGGUGCAAUUUCGAAAACCCUUGACACCAACGAUAAGGACAUGGUUCUUGGUGGGCUGCGGCGGAACCCCCUGCCCACGUACUCGACACAGCAGCCUGGAUCUGGAGAGAGAGUCUGGUUUGAUGGACUUGGACGGGGAACCAGGGCUAGAUUGUAUCGAUGAAGGAAUGGGAGUUGAUGGUUCCUGGCCCAAAAAACCUGAGUCAUGGUCGGCAGGCAAACCAACGGCGUGGAGUGUUGAUCUUGAUAAUGAGGAGGUAGUCAAGAACCAAGUUGUCGAAAAGAGAAAGAGAUAUGCUAAGAACAGGCAGAGGUCUCCAGUGAAACCCCCAAUGAAGGUGAAAUCUCCGGUGAAGGUGAAGAGGAGGUCUAAACCCACGCUUGGUCACUUGUUUUCCACAAGGUCCGACACGGACUCCCCGAGGAAGGGCUUCCCUGAGACGGAAGAAGAGUCUGAGAUUCAUAUUGAGCAUCCCAACCUAGUUACUCUUCCUUGGGGAUCAGCGUCUUCGGGAAGCGAUAGCACCUUCAGAGUGCCUUCGGUGGGUUCAGAGUAUGGAUUGGCGCUGUCACAGCGGAGGCCGUUCUCCUUCUCAGGAUCAGAGACCCCGGCUUACAAUGACGAAUUCGAUAAUGGUAACAUCUCCGACAGCCAGAGCUUGCUGAGGGCAAAGGUGCUUGCAGCGGAGCGGCUGCGUGAUGACUCGAAGUCGUGGAGGGAGCAACGGAAGAUGGAUAGGAAGUACAAGGAUGAAGAGGCAAUGAAGCUUCUUGCUUCUCUUGAUCAAGCUUUGGAUCAGCGGAAUUUGAAGAGGUUGAUUGAGGAUGCAGAGGACAGCGAUCCUGGUUAUGCAUCCAUGUUCGGAAGUCCCAGAUUCGAGCUCCACAACUCGCCCGUGUUCGAGAGCUUUCUCGAAUCUUCCGCCAAGGCAUGGGGAAUCGAUUUUCCUAAUCUCAAAAUGGACGAAGCUAAGACUUCAGGUAAUAUCAGUGAUAAAAGUAGAGAGCUGCAUUGUGUCACUGUCCAGACGGCGACUCAAGUGCGUGACCGGGACAACAGAGCGAGAGAGGCUGCCCGUAGCGUGCGAGUUAAUUCUUCCUCGCCUGUGAAGGCACGGAAGACGAGGCGUGCUCUGGAAAAGGAAGCCCCCAAGAGGUUACCUCCUUCGAGAAAGACCUCCUCAAGAAACCUCCAUGCAUCCCCACCAGGAGGAGAUGCCUCUAAGGACAGUCGCGACCAUAGAACCAUCCAUCCACAACGUGAGGAGAGUAUGGUGGAUCCGGAGCUCUGUGAAGAAUUCAAUUACCAUAGAAGGGAUUUUUACGAAACAAGAAAGCGGACCAAGCAGCGACGGCCAAAGCAAGUGGCUUCCGUUAAUACUACGCCGCAUGUUCCAGCCCCAGCUCCCAAGCUCCAGUCUAAUGUCAGCAAGGAAAGAGUAGCUGUUGUGGUUGAAAGCUCUUACGAUCCUUACAACGAUUUCCGCGAGUCCAUGAUAGAGAUGAUUGUUGAUCAAGAUAUUCAGGAGACCUGCGAUUUGGAGGAACUUCUGCAGUGUUAUCUGUCACUGAAUGAGGCGGAGUAUCAUAAUGUCAUUGUGGAUGUCUUCACGGACGUAUGGCAUGAGCUUUUCGAGAACAAAUUCUAGAAACUCCUGGAAAGGGAGGAUGCAAAUACUGUCCCAUUUACAGUAGGAUUUGCUUCUCCUUAAUAGGUGCAACCCUAAGCAUGCGGGAGGAGUCCUCACUGCCAUAAAUCAGAGGUUGAAAAGGACUACCCUCUUGAUGCAGCAUGAAUCAACUUCACAGAAAUCUGUUCGCAUGCUAGUUCAACUCUGGACAUUCACAUAUUUGCCGACAAGAAAGCUGAGUCCUUUACUGUUGAAUGAACACAUGCUAGGACUAAGCAUCAUGUGCGGAAGGCCAUCAGACAACUGGAAGUGGUAGUUGGGUCCACUUCCGAGGACAGGCAGACAGACACGUAGAGGACUCUCAAUUUCUUACACUGGUUUUUCAGUGUCGAGUUGUGUGUGAGACUGUGAAACUAGGUUCUAAAGCAGAUGAAAGGUGAAUCUUAAGCGGUGGGUAUAUUUUCGUGUAUGAGGGGAGAUUCUGAAGGCAACAGAAAACACAGAUCAGGUAGAUAGCUAGACACUCGGAGUGGGUGGACGACCAUGACCGCAUCAGGUUGUGGUUUUCGAAACGCAGAUAUAUUUGAGUAUCAUUAAAGCUUCUGGAGGUCGUGAGCUUCGAGCCCAGAUUGCGUUAUUACAGGUGGAUUUACGUGCCCUAGCACAUUCAAAGAAUUCUCCAUCAUGUACGAGGCUUCCAACACAUGAAGUACGGUGAAGCACAUCAGGAAAUAGAAAAGAAAAGCGGGUGUUAAUGCAGACUGAAUUAACAGGUUGCAUUUGAUAGUGUAGGCACCCUCUCGUGGUCUCAAUAGGAGAAAGUUACGCAUUUUACGUUCACAGAACAAAGUUUUGGCGAUCACCGUCUGAGCCACUCCAGCAUCAGAAGGAUUUCGCACAGGCGGAAUUAUUUCAGUAAUUAAUCAUUGUUGAUAAGAAUGAGAGGCCAGCAUGUCAACGAUUCUUGAUGCUUCAUCUCAAACGUAAUAUACAACGUGCUAUUUCCGCAA